AGCGGGGUAGGGUAGCCAGGACAUCCCGUCGGGCUCAUAACCCGAAGAUCGAUGGUUCAAAUCCAUCCCCCGCUA
This 75-nucleotide transfer RNA is filed under the name Methanobacteriota archaeon. RNAcentral's name for it is "Euryarchaeota archaeon tRNA-Met". It matches the Rfam family "tRNA". From Rfam's summary of the family: Transfer RNA (tRNA) molecules are approximately 80 nucleotides in length. Their secondary structure includes four short double-helical elements and three loops (D, anti-codon, and T loops). Further hydrogen bonds mediate the characteristic L-shaped molecular structure. tRNAs have two regions of fundamental functional importance: the anti-codon, which is responsible for specific mRNA codon recognition, and the 3' end, to which the tRNAs corresponding amino acid is attached (by aminoacyl-tRNA synthetases). tRNAs cope with the degeneracy of the genetic code in two manners: having more than one tRNA (with a specific anti-codon) for a particular amino acid; and 'wobble' base-pairing, i.e. permitting non-standard base-pairing at the 3rd anti-codon position. RNAcentral also lists the same sequence under 3 other names. Lineage: Archaea; Methanobacteriati; Methanobacteriota. The record is from RNAcentral.